Molecule: long non-coding RNA, 1911 nt
Filed under: Trifolium pratense (red clover)
Lineage: Eukaryota; Viridiplantae; Streptophyta; Magnoliopsida; Fabales; Fabaceae
Description: long non-coding RNA (TPRA_LNC003947)
Source: RNAcentral
UUCUAUCUCUCGCAGCCCCAUGUCUAUCAUCGCCGCCGUAGAUACUCUCAUCGCCGCCCUUUCUGCUCUUCAUCGUAGGUUUCACUGUUCUCUUUCGCUCUUUCUCUCCCUCUACAUCUCUCUCUCUCCCUCUCUCUCUGUAUGUGUGUUAGUCGCAAUUUGGAUGUGGAUUCUUCAACUGUUAAUUGAUUUUUGUCUUCAAUUUCUGGGUUUAUGUUAAUUUUUUGAUUACUAUGAUUUAGGAUUUUGAGUUUAUGUGUUCAAUUUAUGUAUUCUUCAUUUUAGGGUUUGAUUCAUGGGUUCUUUCUGGUUAAUCUUUUUAGUUAGAUUUUUGAGUUCAAUUGAAUUUAGUACCACCAUACAGAACACAUGAACCUCAACUCUCCCAUUACAUAUUAAACAUCACUUGUUCUGUGAGAUGUUGUCUUCAAUUUCUCUUAAAUUAUUUUAUUUUAAGAGUUAAGACUAAGAUAUUUGCUAAUCUAAAAAUGCAGAAUGUAAAAUUUUUAUACUUGAACUGUUGAGUAUAAUUUAGGUCUUACUUUCAGAGUGAAAUUUUGACUAAGAUAUACAAGACAUGUAUUAGAUGGUAUACAAUAAGAAUGAUUAUGACAAAAAUGCAGAAUGUGAAAACAAAGUCCAUGUAGACCCUUGAAACCUCCAAUUUAAAAAUGACAUACAACUAUAAAGAAAAGGGUUGGAGCAUACAUGUUCACUUAAAGCCAAGGGACUUGNNNNNNNNNNNNNNNNNNNNNNNNNNNNNNNNNNNNNNNNNNNNNNNNNNNNNNNNNNNNNNNNNNNNNNNNCAAGAGUGAUUGUUUAUACUUCAGUUACCAUGUCAUUCAAAAUAGUUUUACAAUUUUAAUUUCGGCUUUGGCUCAACAAUCAACAUGUAUAUGAUUUUGUUGUUGUGCUGGAUAUUCCACUUGAUUUUAGUAGAGCAAAUAUAAUUGAGUCAUAGUAACUUAUCAAUGAUGUGUUAUUAUGGUUGUGUUCACUUGAAUUUUAAUGGAUUACAUUUAGCCCUAUUUUUUGGGUAUAUGUUGUCUACAAGAAAUUAUGUUUAGUAUGUGUAUCUAAUGCUAUAUUAUGGUUAUAUUUCUUUUAUUAGUUUCUUGGCUCUGUUCUAAGUUAGUUUCUAUUGAUUAUUAAAUAAAAAUGUGUAUGAAACGAGGCUUGUGAACUUGAAUUAGUUUACAUGAUUUAUGUUUGAAAUUACAUAGAAUUAUAUCCAUAUAUGUUUGAAAUUGCAUCUUAUUGUAAUUUUUCUGAUACUUUCAGCUUUGAACCCAAAUCUACAGUGAGGGGUGCUAUUACGAAAAUCUUCAAAGAAAAUUUUCAAGGUGCAUGGUCAUGUUGGAGUGCUGUUGAUUCGACCACACAAGAUUUUUGAUUUGAAGACUUUAAGGUCAUUUUAUUAAGUAAUUGAGGUGUGCUGGUUGUGUUUCAUUAUGGGAUCCAAUUGAUAAUCUUGUUUAUUUUUUCAUUGAGGUUAUGCUUGUCAUAUUACAUAUUGUGUUUAUAUGCUAUUAAAUUUAUCGUUGUUUCUAUUGGAGUGUAGAUUUGUAUAUAUGCUAUUAAAAUUGUAUACAGGCUAUGCUUAUCAUAUGACAGAUUGUGUUUACAACUUUAACACUACUAUUUGUAUUGUUUGUUUGUAGGCCAAAUACAAAUGGCUUGAAAAGGAUGAAGCUAGCAUUAAAAAAGCUUUAAUAGUAGGGGAACAUUGGCCCUGGAAAAUGCUUUGUUCAAGGUUCGUAGCGGUAAAGAUAAAGGUGAAUGGAUUGAUGAAGAUAAGUUAAAAGAAUUAAGGGAUCAAUGGAACGGUGAAACUUGGCAAAACAGAAAAUGGUUAGUAGUAAAUCUGCUUUAGUGAAUUUCAAUUUAAACAUAUUAUACUAAAUUUAUGUU